AUUAAGAAUAACUUGUAAUGGUAUUCACAUUACUAAUAAACUUCUAAAUUCAUCUGUUUGGGUAUUCAUUACAUAUUCAUCAACUAAGCAAGUCUUACAUGCGUCCAAAUUUGUUUAAGACAAGAAAAUAUACCAUCUAUGCUUAAUAAACAAACUUCAUCUCUUCUAGUACGCAAAUAAAUACAUUAAAUUUAUUUUACAUUAUAAUAAGAUUCAUCACUUUCUCAAAAUUUUGAAACCGGAAACGGAAUUCAGCAUGUUUUAAUAAAAAGAUGAGCAACCGCGUUCUUACUAAAUACGCAAUUCUGAUAAUUUGGGAAUUGAAUAGUUAGUAAUUUUAAAUUUAAUCAUUAAAACAUACCAAAAAAUGGGCCCGUUCCUUUUAACAUUUUGCUCAGACCAAGUGAAAAAAACCUAAAACGCGCUCAAGAGGAACAACGGACGAGCUACACUCAAAAUAUUAAUGAAUGGGUAGUCAACUAUUUUACUAGCGAACAAGCAAAAGCUUUGAUCCAUGGAUCUCACGUAAUGUAAAAUAGUAUCUUACCCUAAGCAUUAUUUUUUUGAGAAACAGGACGUUCAUUAUUGUUUGCCGCAAAGAAUCCAAGUUCAAGGAAAUUGAAUACAGACCAGAGUUGCUAUUCGUUUGAAUGUACAUUGUGACCACAAGUCGGUUUUUGUUUCCUUCCAAAUAGUACCUUCAACACGAAGUUGUACAUUUAGCACGGACAAAGAAUCGACCAAAAAACCAAAAUUAAAUGUAGAAGGAAAACCUUCAAGUCAUUUUUUUUAUAAUAGCUCUUUUAAGUUCCAUACUUUUUAUCUCCGUAACAAAUGCCAAAAGAAGCUAGUAUAGACGAGAGCAUUCAGCCAACAAAUUUG
Schizosaccharomyces pombe (fission yeast) is the source of this 882-nucleotide non-coding RNA. Lineage: Eukaryota; Fungi; Ascomycota; Schizosaccharomycetes; Schizosaccharomycetales; Schizosaccharomycetaceae. The record is from the annotation of a GenBank genome assembly.